This 468-nucleotide ribosomal RNA is filed under the name uncultured bacterium. RNAcentral describes it as "partial 16S ribosomal RNA". It matches the Rfam family "Bacterial small subunit ribosomal RNA", at positions 28 to 507 of the family's 1533-position model. The record is from RNAcentral.
GACGAACGCUGGCGGCGUGCUUAACACAUGCAAGUCGAACGGAAAGGCCCUGCUUUUGUGGGGUGCUCGAGUGGCGAACGGGUGAGUAACACGUGAGUAACCUGCCCUUGACUUUGGGAUAACUUCAGGAAACUGGGGCUAAUACCGGAUAGGAGCUCCUGCUGCAUGGUGGGGGUUGGAAAGUUUCGGCGGUUGGGGAUGGACUCGCGGCUUAUCAGCUUGUUGGUGGGGUAGUGGCUUACCAAGGCUUUGACGGGUAGCCGGCCUGAGAGGGUGACCGGCCACAUUGGGACUGAGAUACGGCCCAGACUCCUACGGGAGGCAGCAGGGGGGAAUAUUGCACAAUGGGCGGAAGCCUGAUGCAGCAACGCCGCGUGCGGGAUGACGGCCUUCGGGUUGUAAACCGCUUUCGCCUGUGACGAAGCGUAAGUGACGGUAAUGGGUAAAGAAGCACCGGCUAACUACGUG